GCCCGGUUAGCUCAAUCGGUAGAGCGUGAGACUCUUAAUCUCAAGGUUGCGGGUAUGUACUUCUCUUCACCUGAGGUUAUUCACACAAUCAUAUGCUAACAUCAACUUGAAGGUUCGACCCCCGCAUCGGGCU
Daldinia loculata is the source of this 133-nucleotide non-coding RNA. The record is from the annotation of a RefSeq genome assembly. NCBI's taxonomy places the organism in Eukaryota, Fungi, Ascomycota, Sordariomycetes, Xylariales, Hypoxylaceae.